UGAGAGUGAGCUGUCAUUCACUGGGUGU
Molecule: non-coding RNA, 28 nt
Filed under: Rattus norvegicus (Norway rat)
Lineage: Eukaryota; Metazoa; Chordata; Mammalia; Rodentia; Muridae
Source: RNAcentral